This is a long non-coding RNA of Otolemur garnettii (small-eared galago), 546 nucleotides long. RefSeq lists it as uncharacterized. NCBI's taxonomy places the organism in Eukaryota, Metazoa, Chordata, Mammalia, Primates, Galagidae. The transcript is spliced from 4 exons. The record is from RefSeq and is a predicted model, not a curated record.
UGGUCAAUGACAGUGUGAAAAAUGCUGAAUUGGGACCUUGUCAAGGAUGUGAGGGGAAUGGUUGCGAGUUUCCAGAAAAAGAAUCUCUCAUUGCAAGAUGAUGCUUCCCUGAACGAUGGAAAGCCUUGGCUGGGAUGUCCUGACGUGGCUCAGCCCUUCCUUAUGUUUCUGCAGCAUCAACUGUGUGUCUGGGCCUGCACCAGAUCCUGAGACUACAGCAGGGAAGGAAAGAAGACAAGGUUUCUAGGGAGGAGGAUGAACAACAAAACAGUACUCAAAAUACACGCACCAGCCUGGCCUCACUCAGAAGCCAAAUAAUUAGCGUCAUUCGGGAUUCUGCCUUGCCGCUUGCUGUGAGAUAGCCCGGACCACUCGGACACCAAGACCUGGCUACCAAACCUCGACACAGCAUCUUAAGCCGUCUUGGAAGAAGAGAAGGACCAAAAAUACCCAGGUAGGAGAAAUACCUGCAUGGGUGUAGUGGCUGUGAAGGUGGUGAGAAAUUAAGAACAAUGUAAUAACUAUAAUAAGUUACUGAAUGCUGAC